CAGCCGCCGCGGUAAUACGUAGGGCGCAAGCGUUAUCCGGAAUUAUUGGGCGUAAAGAGCUCGUAGGCGGUUUGUCGCGUCUGCCGUGAAAGUCCGGGGCUCAACCCCGGAUCUGCGGUGGGUACGGGCAGACUAGAGUGAUGUAGGGGAGACUGGAAUUCCUGGUGUAGCGGUGAAAUGCGCAGAUAUCAGGAGGAACACCGAUGGCGAAGGCAGGUCUCUGGGCAUUAACUGACGCUGGGGAGCGAAAGCAUGGGGAGCGAACAGGAUUAGAUACCCGAGUAGUCCCUGUCUCUUAUAC
RNAcentral lists this ribosomal RNA (301 nucleotides) under uncultured bacterium. RNAcentral describes it as "partial 16S ribosomal RNA". It matches the Rfam family "Bacterial small subunit ribosomal RNA", at positions 509 to 807 of the family's 1533-position model. The record is from RNAcentral.